CCCACACUAGUGAAUAUUGUCCGCUUUGGAACGAUACAGAGAAGAUUAGCAUGGCCCCUGCGCAAGGAUGACACGCACAAAUCAAGAAAUGGUCUAAAUUUUU
Manihot esculenta (cassava) is the source of this 103-nucleotide small nuclear RNA. Lineage: Eukaryota; Viridiplantae; Streptophyta; Magnoliopsida; Malpighiales; Euphorbiaceae. The record is from RefSeq and is a predicted model, not a curated record.